GACGAACGCUGGCGGCGUGCCUAAUACAUGCAAGUCGCGCGAUCAUUGUCUUCGGACAGUGGGAGCGGCGGACGGGUGAGUAACACGUGGGUAACCUGCCGGAUACACUGGGAUAACGCUUGGAAACGAGUGCUAAUACCGGAUAGGCUCCAAGGUCGCAUGAUCUGGGAGGGAAAGGCGCGUAUGCGCCAGUAUCCGAUGGACCCGCGGCGCAUUAGCUAGUUGGUGGGGUAACGGCCUACCAAGGCGACGAUGCGUAGCCGACCUGAGAGGGUGA
Molecule: ribosomal RNA, 277 nt
Filed under: uncultured bacterium
Lineage: Bacteria
Description: partial 16S ribosomal RNA
Rfam family: Bacterial small subunit ribosomal RNA
Source: RNAcentral